UUUACCAAAAACAUGGCUUCUUGAGAAAAAAUUUAUAAGGAGUCGGACCUGCCCAGUGAAAUUUUUUAACGGCCGCGGUACUCUGACCGUGCAAAGGUAGCAUAAUCAUUUGCCUUAUAAUUGAAGGCUAGUAUGAAUGGUUUGACAAGAAUAUGACUGUCUCUUUACAAUUAAUUAGAAUUUUAUAUUAAGGUGAAGAAGCCUUAGUAAAAUUAAAAGACAAGAAGACCCUAUCGAGCUUUAAAAAAAUUUAUAGAAGAAUUAUUUAUAAAUUUUAGAAAAUUGACUAUAAAAUAUUUUAGUUGGGGCGACUGAGGAACAAAUAAAGCUUCCUUUUAAUAUUAAAUACGCACGAGUACUUGAUCCAAAGUUUUUGAUUAAAGAAAUUAGUUACCGUAGGGAUAACAGCAUUAUCUUUUUUGAGAGUUCUUAUCGAAAAAAAGGUUUGUGACCUCGAUGUUGGACCAGAAUAUCCUAAAGAUGCAGAAGUCUUUAAGGGUUGGUCUGUUCGACCAUUAAAAUUCUACGUGAUCUGAGUUCAGACCGG
Molecule: ribosomal RNA, 547 nt
Rfam family: Bacterial large subunit ribosomal RNA